Molecule: ribosomal RNA, 413 nt
Filed under: uncultured bacterium
Lineage: Bacteria
Description: bacterial SSU rRNA
Rfam family: Bacterial small subunit ribosomal RNA
Source: RNAcentral
AGCGAACGCUGGCGGCAGGCCUAACACAUGCAAGUCGAACGCACCUUCGGGUGAGUGGCGGACGGGUGAGUAACACGUGGGAACGUACCUUUUGGUUCGGAACAACACAGGGAAACUUGUGCUAAUACCGGAUGAGCCCUAUGGGAGAAAGAUUUAUCGCCGAAAGAGCGGCCCGCGUUAGAUUAGCUAGUUGGUGGGGUAAAGGCCCACCAAGGCUCCGAUCUAUAGCUGGUCUGAGAGGANGAUCAGCCACACUGGGACUGAGACACGGCCCAGACUCCUACGGGAGGCAGCAGUGGGGAAUCUUGCGCAAUGGGCGAAAGCCUGACGCAGCCAUGCCGCGUGAAUGAUGAAGGUCUUAGGAUUGUAAAAUUCUUUUAGCAGGGACGAUAAUGACGGUACCUGCAGAAAAA